GAUCAUGGCUCAGAUUGAACGCUGGCGGCAGGCCUAACACAUGCAAGUCGAACGGUAACAGGAAGCAGCUUGCUGCUUCGCUGACGAGUGGCGGACGGGUGGGUAAUGUCUGGGAAACUGCCUGAUGGAGGGGGAUAACUACUGGAAACGGUAGCUAAUACCGCAUAACGUCGCAAGACCAAAGAGGGGGACCUUCGGGCCUCUUGCCAUCGGAUGUGCCCAGAUGGGAUUAGCUAGUAGG
This 241-nucleotide ribosomal RNA is filed under the name uncultured bacterium. RNAcentral describes it as "partial 16S ribosomal RNA". It matches the Rfam family "Bacterial small subunit ribosomal RNA", at positions 15 to 252 of the family's 1533-position model. The record is from RNAcentral.